Molecule: long non-coding RNA, 1461 nt
Filed under: Parus major (Great Tit)
Lineage: Eukaryota; Metazoa; Chordata; Aves; Passeriformes; Paridae
Description: lncRNA (ENSPMJG00000009660.1)
Source: RNAcentral
AUGAUCAGAGUGUCUGUGUUGCUGGGAAACGGGGAGCUGUCCUGGGCUGCUCCUCAGUAUUUGUCUUUCAUUACAGAUCUUUCCUCCCUACUUGUGGAAAAGGAGUUUUACAGGAGAGAAAUGAAGAUGACUACAAAGAAAAGUCUUCCUCUGAGCUUUGGGAUUUUUUGCAGUUGGGUCUCAGGUCUGGCAGAUGGCCCAAGUGGGAGUGAUGAGGAAGGUGAAGUGAUGCAGCCUCAGACUCUGGUCCCCACCAAAAGAUGCAGCUCCCAAGGCUCCAGUUUGACCAGGGAACACACAGAUCUGCAGGAGCACUGUCUGCUGAGAAACACGGCCCCAAAGGAGCCCUGUGGCUGUCCUGGCCUCUUGGCAGCACAGAUGGGCAUCUCCAGCAGCCUGAAUUCCAGCUCCUGGCUCUGCUAUCCCAGUGACAGCAGCACAUUUGCAUAAGGAGCCACUGGGUUUGUGGAAAUAAGCACUGGUGAAUGAAGAUGAAAGAGAAAACCUUGCUGGUUUCUUCCCUGGAGAUCAUAUUUCUUACUUGUUGCAUAACUGCUUAUUUUAGCAUCAAUCAGCCAGGCCUUUGUUGUGCAGACAAUUCUGUCCUUUUAAAGGAUUUGUGCAGUAUUGUUUCUUCCAAAAUGCUUUUUUUUUGUUUUUAUUAUUAGAUUUAUUUCCUCUCUUAGCAAAUGCCAACUGACAACACCCUACAACACCCUGUCAGAGCUCUUCAUGAGUGUUACAUAAAUGUCAUACUAUGUAAACUGAGUGUUGUAUAUAACAUAUACAUGACCUUUCUGGAGAACCAUCCAUCAGGUGCUGUCUCUGUGUGUGUCAUGUUUAUGCAUUUGUACACAAGCUGUGUUUAAGCGUGCAUAUAUGGUAGCCAAAAAUCUAUUAAAGGGAGCAUUCAAAACACAGAAAUGUCCGAACUCUUGUCAGUGUAACUCAUCUAUUCACUUUUUUUGCAGCAGAACAAGACUUCAAUUGCAUGUUCAGACACUCUUUUCCUUCUCCAUCACUGUGUGUGCAGUGGGAUGGUCAGUGAGGGGCUCAGCAAUGCCUAUUGUUCAGCACAUGAGCCUGGGCAGAGCACAUUAUUCAGUGCAUUAUCCACAUGUCUGACCACUUUUGGAUUUCACAGCAAUAGGAAAUACAGCUCCAAUAUUUCUCUGUGCAGUUUUCAAAGCAGAGCAAGGUGCCCACGUUCUGGAUGGUAAAAAUGUAUUGAGGUUGCAACUAGGCAUGCUGUGGACCUGCCAUGCCGUGCUGUGACCUUCUUUAGAGGAGUACUCCAGAAAUCCUGGAGACAUGGCCCACAGGGUGGUAAGGCUGUAGCAUGCUGUACAGGACCAGAGCAGGGACCUGCAGGUUCCUCAAAUGACAGAAUUAUUAAUUUCCUCAUGGCUUUUUCUAUAGCACUUUCCACUACACUGCCUCAGUGCUUCAGCACCUUCAUUA